Molecule: long non-coding RNA, 851 nt
Organism: Chanos chanos (milkfish)
Lineage: Eukaryota; Metazoa; Chordata; Actinopteri; Gonorynchiformes; Chanidae
Exons: 3
Source: RefSeq, a predicted model, not a curated record
AUGGAGAGAGUGAGAAGGAGGUGGAGCAGAAAGGAGCUAAUACCAGCUGUGCUGAAGAGGAAAUGACUUUAAGAACGAUGAAGCAAGAACGGGUUAGAGAAAGACAGACGAUAAGGCGAAAUAGUGUUAAAAAAAGAAGGGAGAGAGAAAGAAAUACCAAACAGAGAGGUAAAUGAAGAUGAGUCAAGAUGGGUGGAUGGUGAGAAAUGUAAAGAAACUUAAAGAAAAAGAUCACAGACAGGCAGAUAUGUAGAUAUUGACGCAGACAAAAAUGAAGUUGAUUUGCAUGCAGUUAAAAGGGAAAAACACAGAGGCUUAAUCUGAACGCAGAGAGAAAACAAACCAACAGGAAUCUGCAGCACCGACUAUAGAAGAUGCACAGAAUACUGCAGAGACAUUUGUAAAGUGUAAUGACAGAAGAAGUCAAUGUCCCCCCCUCUUCCCCGGACUCUGUAUCCCUCCUGGAGAUAAGGACAGAGACUCGUCUUGUGCUAAAAUCUUUUCUCCGGAAAACUCUCACCGUCCCUCCGUCUGAGCGCCCAGGAAGAAUUGGAGGGGAAUACAGGGACCACAACAAGUACAGUGCAUCUUUGAAAGAUAAAUCGAAGACACAUGACAAUGGUUGGGACUCUCUGGAUGAGGAGAUCAGUUCGGCAGAGGAGAAAAAACAUGGCUUUAAAGACUUGAUACGAAAAAGGUGGCGGCCACGCCCAGUGACGAUUCGUCGUGUACCAAAAGACGGUGGGCAGUCGCCCCACGGAACCUUGGAGAGGGAUGGUCAACAUAGCCAAUCAGAGAAGGAACUGACAAAGCAAAAAAGCCCAUGUCUACCACAUAUCCUAAAGCAAAAA